GUUAGAGGCAUAUUCACUCUUUUAAGAUCCUCAGGGGUAAUACAAAUAGAGACAUUAAGAUCAUUUGGAUGAGCAAAAAUAUAAACAUUUGGAAAAUGAUUGAUCUUACAUCCAAGAAAAAAGGUAAGUGCUUUCAGUGAGUUGGUGAGUGCAGAGGGACAAAGUGCAUGUUUAGCUGAAGUAGGGAAAGUAGUAAAUGUUCAGGGAGGACGUGCUUCCUGUGCUAAAAAGCCAAAAAGUAGAUAAACUUGUCUGAGAAUGGAGGGCACAGUGACAUGAACUGUGACUUGGGACAAGGCUCUAAAGAGUGGGUAGUCUGUCUAGAUUGAGGGGGUACUGAUGACGAGAGGGAAGUGGAAGAAAGGGAAUUACUUUUGGUUUUUCUGUUGUUGGUCAAGCCCAUUGUGAUGACUAUGGAGUUGGGUGCUUAGAUCCUCUGCAGGUCCAAGUCCAUUGGCCAGCUGGUGGAGAGGUGUCUACAGGCAACCUAAUGUCGGCCCCUUCAGGGAUUUCCUCAGCUGCACAGAGCCACCUUGCUUAAGGUCACACCCUUCCCAUGGUGGCCCACCUCCAGUGACGGAUCAAGGGGCAGGUGCCGAUCCUAAGAGCAUUCUAACAAAUGUUCUACACUCGUAACUCUAUCUCAGAUUGCGCUUCUUGAAAAGCCACCUACGACACCUUCUCGGUAUGUUAUGGAAUUUUCAUAAUAACUCCCUAAGGUUGGUAUUUUGGGCGUUAUUAUA
Molecule: long non-coding RNA, 743 nt
Filed under: Mustela putorius furo (domestic ferret)
Lineage: Eukaryota; Metazoa; Chordata; Mammalia; Carnivora; Mustelidae
Description: lncRNA (ENSMPUG00000025911.1)
Source: RNAcentral